Molecule: small nuclear RNA, 74 nt
Filed under: Mus caroli (Ryukyu mouse)
Lineage: Eukaryota; Metazoa; Chordata; Mammalia; Rodentia; Muridae
Source: RNAcentral
GUGCUCGCUUAGGCAGCACAUAUACUAAAAUUGGAACGAUACAGAGAAGAUUAGCAUGGCCCCUGCAUAAUGGA